Molecule: ribosomal RNA, 253 nt
Filed under: uncultured bacterium
Lineage: Bacteria
Description: partial 16S ribosomal RNA
Rfam family: Bacterial small subunit ribosomal RNA
Source: RNAcentral
UACGUAGGGACCAAGCGUUGUUCGGAUUUACUGGGCGUAAAGGGCGCGUAGGCGGCAUGACAAGUCACUUGUGAAAUCUCUGGGCUUAACCCAGAACGGCCAAGUGAUACUGUCACGCUAGAGUGCAGAAAGGGCAAUCGGAAUUCUUGGUGUAGCGGUGAAAUGCGUAGAUAUCAAGAGGAACACCUGAGGCGAAGGCGGGUUGCUAGGCUGACACUGACGCUGAGGCGCGAAAGCCAGGGGAGCAAACGGG